RNAcentral lists this transfer RNA (66 nucleotides) under Singhiella simplex. RNAcentral's name for it is "tRNA-Trp". Lineage: Eukaryota; Metazoa; Arthropoda; Insecta; Hemiptera; Aleyrodidae. The record is from RNAcentral.
AAAACUUUAAGUUAUUAAACUAAUAGCCUUCAAAGCUUUAAUUGAAAUUUUAGUUUUCAGGUUUUA